RNAcentral lists this ribosomal RNA (253 nucleotides) under uncultured bacterium. RNAcentral describes it as "partial 16S ribosomal RNA". It matches the Rfam family "Bacterial small subunit ribosomal RNA", at positions 524 to 776 of the family's 1533-position model. The record is from RNAcentral.
UACAGAGGGUGCAAGCGUUGUUCGGAAUUACUGGGCGUAAAGCGCGUGUAGGCGGCCCUGCAAGUCGGAUGUGAAAUCCCACGGCUCAACCGUGGAAGUGCAUUCGAAACUGCAGGGCUAGAGUCCUGGAGAGGAAAGUGGAAUGCUUGGUGUAGAGGUGAAAUGCGUAGAUAUCAAGAGGAACACCGGUGGCGAAGGCGGCCUUCUGGACAGUGACUGACGCUGAGACGCGAAAGCGUGGGGAGCAAACAGG